Molecule: ribosomal RNA, 525 nt
Filed under: Nigrospora sp. GS5_1_9
Lineage: Eukaryota; Fungi; Ascomycota; Sordariomycetes; Amphisphaeriales; Apiosporaceae
Description: eukaryotic LSU rRNA
Rfam family: 5.8S ribosomal RNA (bases 206-359)
Source: RNAcentral
AUGGAAUAAAGGUAAAAAACAAGGAUCUGUUGCGGAGGAGCGGAGGGGGGGAUACAGAUAUAUGUCCCCAGUCCAAGCCACGUGAUGUAUUUGUUUCUUGGGUGCAAGCUACCCGGGACCCAGCGCCCCGGGCGGCCCGCCGGCGGACAAACCAAAACUCUUGUUAUCUUAGUUGAUUAUUUGAGCGUCUUAUUUAAUAAGUCAAAACUUUCAACAACGGAUCUCUUGGUUCUGGCAUCGAUGAAGAACGCAGCGAAAUGCGAUAAGUAAUGUGAAUUGCAGAAUUCAGUGAAUCAUCGAAUCUUUGAACGCACAUUGCGCCCAUUAGUAUUCUAGUGGGCAUGCCUGUUCGAGCGUCAUUUCAACCCCUAAGCACAGCUUACUGUUGGGACUCUACGGCCCCCGUAGUUCCCCAAAGCCAUUGGCGGAGUGGCAGUAGUCCUCUGAGCGUAGUAAUUCUUUAUCUCGCUUUUGUUAGGCGCUGCCCCCCCGGCCGUUAAACCCCCCAAUUAUCUGGUGACCUCG